Oncorhynchus tshawytscha (Chinook salmon) is the source of this 745-nucleotide long non-coding RNA. Lineage: Eukaryota; Metazoa; Chordata; Actinopteri; Salmoniformes; Salmonidae. The record is from Ensembl.
GUGCUGAAACCUGCAUUAUAAACUGGGUGGUUCUUCUUUACACUGUUAAGUGGUGCUGAAACCUGCAUUAUAAACUGGGUGGUUCUUCUUUACACUGUUAAGUGGUGCUGAAACCUGCAUUAUAAACUGGGGGUUCCAGGUUCAUCAUGAGUGAGACAUUAAAUUCAUAAUAGUUCUUAUCUCUGAUUGAUCAAUAGAAGUAAUUCAUACUAAGAUCUAAGAUCAGAUCACAGUUUCUAACUAUUUACUGUGUUGUUUCCUCUGGUGUUUUUCAAGCUAGGGGCUCUACCCCAUCCUCCUCUCCUCCCAAAGCCCUCCCCCCUCUCUCUCCUCCUCUCUCUGUCUGUCUCUGGGUUGGUGGCUGCUCUCUCCAUCUCUCUGAUCAUUCUACUGGUCCUGUUCUGCAAGAGGAACAAAGAUGUAGCUGCUGAACCCAGAGAUGUUACGUAUGCUGAUGUUAGAAUCACACAGGACCCAGAACACAGGAGAAGGAGAGAGAAGUCUCCAGGAGCUGAUCCAGUCUACUCUGCAGUGAAGACCUCCAACACCACAGUUCCAGGUGGAUCUGGUCCAGGUGAUGUGACCUAUGCUGACAUCAACCACACAGAGAAGAGACAACACAACAGGAGGAGAGAGAAGGUCGUUCCAGACCCUGUCUACUCAGCAGUGAAGACAGAGAGAGAUACAGGUCAAAAGGUCGUUCCAGACCCUGUCUACUCAGCGGUGAAGACAGACAGACAGACAG